ACCUCGCACCGCGCAUCCCGCAGCCAAUCCAUCCUCGCCUCGUCCCACUCCCGCACCAGCCACCACCCAAACCCUAGCCCCCUUUCCCCUCGAUCCCCACAGCCUCUCUCGCCUCCUCCAUCCCUCCUCCUUGCCUCGCCACGGCCUCCCCCGGAGCCUCGCCGCCGCUUGCUAUUCCUCGCCGCCCCUGCGAGCUCGGUGGCGGGAUGAAUGGACAGGGGAGGUGGACGAUGAGGGCUACUCCAUCCACCAGAUCCGCGCCGCCCCUGCCCAAAUCCUCUCCGCGUGCGCCGCACCCAAUCCCGUCCUCGCUCGUCUCACGCGGCCCUCUUGCGCCGCUCGUCUCCACCUCAUAUCUGGCAUCCUCGCUGCGGCCAUAGAUCGAGGAGGACGGCGCGAUGACGACCAUGAUGCAUCGGACAUCCCAGAUCGACGACGCGAUGGAAGACAUGAGAGCUGGCCGAGGAAGAGGGGGCAGGGCCGCAGGUCAUGAAGGGCACGGUGGCUGCGGGCGGAAGCAGCAUGGGUUGAAGGAGCGGCGGAUGUGGGCGGGGUCGGAGGUUGGGGGAGACUCGUCGGCUGGGCGACAGCGAGCGCCGGUGAGCGCAAUGCAUGAGUUUCCAGAAGCGUCCUCUCCUACAAGGUAGGCAAGGACGAUGUCGUCGCCCUCGCAGGUUCUCAAUCUGUUGCAUCUCUGUUCUCCUCGUCAAGGUUAGCUGCUCUAAUUCCUAGAUCUGGGGUGUGGCUGCAGGGGAGGGGAGGCGGCCAAUGACAGGGAGAAGCAGCAGGCCGUCGAGGAGUGCAAGCAGAAGGGGAAGCUUCUGGACGGGAUUUAGACAAGGAAACAGAGACCCGUGCGAAAUCGAGCAUCCUGGUAGUGCCUCGACCAAAGCGGGUCGACGGAUAGCACCGGUGAGCACGGAGCAUGGUGCAGCGAGUUGGAUAGGCAGCAAGAGAGGUGACCACGGGUGUGGCUUGGGGAGCUCCGCACACAUGAAGUGAUGAUGAGUGCAUCCGACCCCACCAUGCUGCUGGUCCUGGAGAAACAAGGGGUAUAUGAACCAGAAAUGAUGUGAUAUACUUGGUUAUUUGAACAUGAAGGUCAGCCGCGGGGUGACGCGACAUGGCUCAUUACAAGCUUCAGCUGGAUCGAAUAGUGGGCCUUCUAUAUAUAUAUUCAGCUGUAUCAUUUCUUACUAUAUAUAUCUUCCUGUCGACCAGACGAAACCAUACAUGGAUCCUUCGCCUCCUUUCUUGCUCAGAACCCAUGAUACAACCUCGGCGGCUGUCCAGCGACUAACAGGUAAUUUCUCUUUCAAUUUGAUGAUGAUGGAUGAGAAUCAGUUCUAUGAUUGCAGCUUAUAAAAACAGAUGUUGGAUGUCCCUUAUGUGAUGUGCUUAUUUACCAUGAUAGAUGCAAUUGCUUAUUAGCAGGUGCUCUCUGAAUCCUUCUUUAACUAAUUUACUUUUGAUGUUCGGACAAAGGAGACUAUAACUUUUUAUAUUCGUUCUAUCAUGGAUUCCCUCUCUAGCCUAUGUACGUUUCAGAAAUAGGUACACACCUAGGAGAAGCCUGAGACCUAAUAAUAGUGCUAAGCAAUUACUCUGAUUGUCAUUCUAUGCUAUCAUCACAACACAGGUCAAUAGACAGUCAACAAAUGUGUAAUCAGCUUUCCCUGGGUCCUGGAUCAUCUACUAAUAAUCGAAUUUUGUGGCGAGCGUCUUAUAAAUCAGCAUACCUAUUUCUCCACACUGGAUAGCUUUUAUUGUGACUACAAAGAAUAUAGUUUGAGGACGGCAUGCCAAUUGUUCUAUGUCUUAGGUAUGAAGUAAUUUCUAAAAUGUCUUAGGUUUCCCUGUAAAUUCUGCAAAUUUACGGCAUGUCAUUAAAACCUACAGGGUGCUCCACCGAUGGUGAAAAUACCUCACAUGAUGAUGUUGGAUAUUCUUCUACAAACUUCUGGCCUACCAGUGGCUGAGUAUCGAAGCAAAAUGUGACAGUUGCAUGAUGUGCUUGACUGUUUAUUUGCAUACAGCAAUAUCAUCUUUUGGAGAUAAAACAGCCGUACGGCUGUUACAUGAGACCAUGUCGGAAGACCGUGCUGCUAUGUAAGCAAAAGGAUUCAUGAUACCCGCGGUAAAAACAGAGAUAAGAUGCUACAGUUAGAGCAGCAUUGAGAAACCGAGGACACGAAAUAAAGGGCAGCCCCAGUGCAUGUAGCUCUCGCUUGCGCAGGGUCUGGGGAAGGGUCCGACCACUUUGGGUCUAUUGUACGCAGCCUUUCCCUACAUUUCUGUAAGAGGCUGUUUCCAGGACUUGAACCCGUGACCUCAUGGUCACAAGGCAGCAGCUUUACCACUGCGCCAAGGCUCCCCUUUAUUAUAAGUACAUGAGAAACCGAGGACACGAAAUGAGUCUGAAAAAUGCUAUGGGCUGAUUCGUUCUAGCUAGGCUAUGUGUGGUAGAAGUUGUACUCACAGGAAGACUAUCGUGCUUUGUAUAAACCACGUUAUAUGAUUCACUUCUGUUAUGCUUAUUUACAUUCCAGUGUUAGGACUGAAAUCCAUCUAUUGUAAUGAAUUUGGUUGUAUUGGCAUUACCUAUUUGACUUAGGCUUGGUUCAUCACAUAUAGACUGUUUUUCUUUAACCCGCUGCUUGUAUGACCUAAAACUGUCAUGUAUAUGAGGCAAGUUAUUAGCAAUGUUUCACAUUUUCUUACUUGCAA
Molecule: RNA transcript, 2727 nt
Organism: Triticum dicoccoides
Lineage: Eukaryota; Viridiplantae; Streptophyta; Magnoliopsida; Poales; Poaceae
Exons: 7
Source: RefSeq, a predicted model, not a curated record